UCGAGAAUUUUUCACAAUGGGGGAAACCCUGAUGGAGCGACGCCGCGUGGGGGAUGAAUGGCUUCGGCCCGUAAACCCCUGUCAUUCGGGAUCAAUGCUGACGACCUAAUACGUUGUCAGUUGAUAGUACCGAAAGAGGAAGGGACGGCUAACUCUGUGCCAGCAGCCGCGGUAAUACAGAGGUCCCAAGCGUUGUUCGGAUUUACUGGGCGUAAAGGGCGCGUAGGUGGUGAGCUAAGUCUGGUGUGAA
This 250-nucleotide ribosomal RNA is filed under the name uncultured bacterium. Its description in RNAcentral is "partial 16S ribosomal RNA". It matches the Rfam family "Bacterial small subunit ribosomal RNA", at positions 355 to 598 of the family's 1533-position model. The record is from RNAcentral.